Molecule: ribosomal RNA, 497 nt
Filed under: uncultured bacterium
Lineage: Bacteria
Description: partial 16S ribosomal RNA
Rfam family: Bacterial small subunit ribosomal RNA
Source: RNAcentral
GAUGAACGCUGGCGGCGUGCCUAAUACAUGCAAGUCGAGCGAACAGAUGAGGAGCUUGCUCCUCUGACGUUAGCGGCGGAAGGGUGAGUAACACGUGGAUAACCUACCUAUAAGACUGGGAUAACUUCGGGAAACCGGAGCUAAUACCGGAUAAAAUAUUGAACCGCAUGGUUCAAUAGUGAAAGACGGUUUUGCUGUCACUUAUAGAUGGAUCCGCGCCGCAUUAGAUAGUUGGUAAGGUAACGGCUUACCAAGGCAACGAUGCGUAGCCGACCUGAGAGGGUGAUCCGCCACACUGGAACUGAGACACGGUCCAGACUCCUACGGGAGGCAGCAGUAGGGAAUCUUCCGCAAUGGGCGAAAGCCUGACGGAGCAACGCCGCGUGAGUGAUGAAGGUCUUCGGAUCGUAAAACUCUGUUAUUCGGGAAGAACAAAUGUGUAAGUAACUAUGCACGUCUUGACGGUACCUAAUCAGAAAGCCACGGCUAACUACGUG